Cnephaeus nilssonii (northern bat) is the source of this 73-nucleotide non-coding RNA. The record is from the annotation of a GenBank genome assembly. Lineage: Eukaryota; Metazoa; Chordata; Mammalia; Chiroptera; Vespertilionidae.
ACCAGUUUGGCUCAGUGGAUAGAGCGUCAGCCGGCGGACUCAAGGGUCCCAGGUUCGAUUCCAGUCAAGGGUA